UACAGAGGGGGCAAGCGUUGUUCGGAAUUACUGGGCGUAAAGGGCGCAUAGGCGGCCUUCUAAGUCGAACGUGAAAUCCCUGGGCUCAACCCAGGAACUGCGUCCGAUACUGGGAGGCUUGAAUCCGGGAGAGGGAUGUGGAAUUCCAGGUGUAGCGGUGAAAUGCGUAGAUAUCUGGAGGAACACCGGUGGCGAAGGCGGCAUCCUGGACCGGUAUUGACGCUGAGGUGCGAAAGCGUGGGGAGCAAACAGG
Molecule: ribosomal RNA, 253 nt
Filed under: uncultured bacterium
Lineage: Bacteria
Description: partial 16S ribosomal RNA
Rfam family: Bacterial small subunit ribosomal RNA
Source: RNAcentral